UGCAGAUCCUCUAUUCUUUAAUUGCAUAUCGAUGUUUAUCACUCUCAUUCCAGCCAAAUUGUUUUGUUUUCUGCAGAUCGAAAUGUUGGGAUGGUCGCCCAGUCUUCCAACUGUUAGAAUAUGAGCAUGAGUAUGAAUCGGUAAACUUGGUUGUAGGAUUAGAGAUUGAAUAGGAAGUCUUGUUGAGAAUGGAUUUGCAAAUCCAUGUUGUAAUUGGACUGCUAUUUGGAAUGAAUUGGUAUUCCAUAUGGAUUUUAAUAGGGGAAUCCUUAUAGAAUUUGGCUAAGAUUGUAUAGUAUAUAUAUGGUGGCCUUUGCUCUCGCACUGUGGACUCAAUAUAAGACUAAGACCUAUUAUUAGUUGAGAACCUUGAACACUAAAGAUAGGAGAAGGUGCACUGCAACAUUGUUACAGAAAUCAGACAUGGCAAUCGGUUCAAGUUCAUCUACAGCGGAAGAACGACAUCGACUUACCAUCAAAGCCGCCUAGUCAGUCGUUGAGGCCUCCUAGCCCGCCCAGUGCCCGUCUAGGCGCCUCCUAAUACCCUUUCCGAUUUCUUCAACAAUUUUGGUUUAAUCACAACGGCGAACCACCGCCUAGGCCGCAUUUUCAAACACUGGUUAAGAGUUCAAGAUUUGUGGGUGUGUGUGUGCGCGCAAUUGCUUGUGGCCACGUUAUUUGUGAAUGAGGAUCCUAUUCGGAUAUUUUUUGUGAUAAUAUCAAUAAUUCUUCAAUCGGGUUCA
Long non-coding RNA from Malus domestica (apple), 743 nucleotides. RefSeq lists it as uncharacterized. The record is from RefSeq and is a predicted model, not a curated record. NCBI's taxonomy places the organism in Eukaryota, Viridiplantae, Streptophyta, Magnoliopsida, Rosales, Rosaceae.